UACAGAGGGUGCGAGCGUUAAUCGGAAUUACUGGGCGUAAAGCGUGCGCAGACGGUCAUGUAAGUCGCGUGUGAAAGCCCCGGGCUCAACCUGGGAACGGCGCGCGAAACGGGAGGGCUGGAGUUCGGGAGAGGAGAGUGGAAUUCCCAGUGUAGAGGUGAAAUUCGUAGAUAUUGGGAAGAACACCGGUGGCGAAGGCGGCUCUCUGGACCGAGACUGACGCUGAGGCGCGAAAGCGUGGGGAGCAAACAGGG
This 254-nucleotide ribosomal RNA is filed under the name uncultured bacterium. RNAcentral's name for it is "partial 16S ribosomal RNA". It matches the Rfam family "Bacterial small subunit ribosomal RNA", at positions 524 to 777 of the family's 1533-position model. The record is from RNAcentral.